CCUACGGGAGGCAGCAGUGAGGAAUAUUGGUCAAUGGCCGUAAGGCUGAACCAGCCAAGUCGCGUGAAGGAAGAAGGAUCUAUGGUUUGUAAACUUCUUUUAUAGGGGAAUAAAGGUAUCCACGUGUGGAUAUUUGCAUGUACCCGAUGAAUAAGCAUCGGCUAACUCCGUGCCAGCAGCCGCGGUAAUACGGAGGAUGCGAGCGUUAUCCGGAUUUAUUGGGUUUAAGGGGUGCGUAGGUUGUUAUUUAAGUCAGAGGUGAAAUCGUGGGGCUCAACCCUGCCGAGCCGUCGGAACUGGGGGACUUGAGUGCAGGGGAGGAAAGCGGAAUGCGCGGUGUAGCGGUGAAAUGCAUAGAUAUCGCGCAGAACCCCGAUUGCGAAGGCGGCGUGCCGUGUCGUCACUGACGCUGAGGCACGAAAGCGCGGGGAUCGAACAGGAUUAGAUACCCCGGUAGUC
This 459-nucleotide ribosomal RNA is filed under the name uncultured bacterium. RNAcentral describes it as "partial 16S ribosomal RNA". It matches the Rfam family "Bacterial small subunit ribosomal RNA", at positions 338 to 795 of the family's 1533-position model. The record is from RNAcentral.